RNAcentral lists this ribosomal RNA (331 nucleotides) under uncultured bacterium. Its description in RNAcentral is "bacterial SSU rRNA". It matches the Rfam family "Bacterial small subunit ribosomal RNA", at positions 29 to 353 of the family's 1533-position model. The record is from RNAcentral.
ACGAACGCUGACGGUGUGCUUUAGACAUGCAAGUCGAACGAGAAAGCCCUUCGGGUUAGUAAAGUGGCGAACGGGUGAGUAACACGUGGGCAAUCUGCCCCUCGCAGGGGGACAACCGGAGGAAACUCCGGCUAAUACCCCGUAAGUUCAAAGGGAGGCAUCUCUCUUCGAAGAAAGGUAGCUUCGGCCAUCCGGCGAGGGAUGAGCCCGCGGUGCAUUAGCUAGUUGGUGGGGUAACGGCCUACCAAGGCGACGAUGCAUAGCUGGUCUGAGAGGAUGAUCAGCCACACUGGGACUGAGACACGGCCCAGACUCCGUACGGGAGGCAGCA